GACGAACCGUGCGAACGUUGUUCGGAAUCACUGGGCUUAAAGGGCGCGUAGGCGGGCAUUCAAGUCAGGGGUGAAAUCCUCCAGCUUAACUGGAGAACUGCCUUUGAUACUGGGUGCCUCGAGUGAGGUAGGGGCGUGCGGAACUGAUGGUGGAGCGGUGAAAUGUGUUGAUAUCAUCAGGAACUCCGGUGGCGAAAGCGGCGCGCUGGACCUUAACUGACGCUGAGGCGCGAAAGCCAGGGGAGCAAACGGG
RNAcentral lists this ribosomal RNA (253 nucleotides) under uncultured bacterium. RNAcentral describes it as "partial 16S ribosomal RNA". It matches the Rfam family "Bacterial small subunit ribosomal RNA", at positions 524 to 776 of the family's 1533-position model. The record is from RNAcentral.